RNAcentral lists this ribosomal RNA (465 nucleotides) under Vreelandella stevensii. RNAcentral's name for it is "partial 16S ribosomal RNA". It matches the Rfam family "Bacterial small subunit ribosomal RNA", at positions 338 to 795 of the family's 1533-position model. Lineage: Bacteria; Pseudomonadati; Pseudomonadota; Gammaproteobacteria; Oceanospirillales; Halomonadaceae. The record is from RNAcentral.
CCUACGGGAGGCAGCAGUGGGGAAUAUUGGACAAUGGGCGAAAGCCUGAUCCAGCCAUGCCGCGUGUGUGAAGAAGGCCUUCGGGUUGUAAAGCACUUUCAGUGGGGAAGAAAGCCUUGGGGCUAAUACCCUCGAGGAAGGACAUCACCCACAGAAGAAGCACCGGCUAACUCCGUGCCAGCAGCCGCGGUAAUACGGAGGGUGCGAGCGUUAAUCGGAAUUACUGGGCGUAAAGCGCGCGUAGGCGGUCUGAUAAGCCGGUUGUGAAAGCCCCGGGCUCAACCUGGGAACGGCAUCCGGAACUGUCAGGCUAGAGUGCAGGAGAGGAAGGUAGAAUUCCCGGUGUAGCGGUGAAAUGCGUAGAGAUCGGGAGGAAUACCAGUGGCGAAGGCGGCCUUCUGGACUGACACUGACGCUGAGGUGCGAAAGCGUGGGUAGCAAACAGGAUUAGAUAACCGGGUAGUC